UACGGAGGGUGCGAGCGUUAUCCGGAAUUACUGGGUUUAAAGGGUGCGUAGGCGGCUAUGUAAGUCAGGAGUGAAAGUUCGCGGCUCAACCGUAAAAUUGCUUUUGAUACUGCAUGGCUAGAAUUAGGAUGAGGUCAGCGGAAUGUGGCAUGUAGCGGUGAAAUGCAUAGAUAUGCCAUAGAACACCAAUUGCGAAGGCAGCUGGCUAGACCUGUAUUGACGCUGAGGCACGAAAGCGUGGGGAGCGAACAGG
Molecule: ribosomal RNA, 253 nt
Filed under: uncultured bacterium
Lineage: Bacteria
Description: partial 16S ribosomal RNA
Rfam family: Bacterial small subunit ribosomal RNA
Source: RNAcentral